Molecule: ribosomal RNA, 1059 nt
Filed under: Triticum aestivum (bread wheat)
Lineage: Eukaryota; Viridiplantae; Streptophyta; Magnoliopsida; Poales; Poaceae
Description: partial small subunit ribosomal RNA
Source: RNAcentral
AUGAAGGGUUUUGAUGAGGCUUGGCGACUCCAGGUAGAAUCCUUUACGCAAAAAGGGAGUGUUGGAAUUAAAGUAAAUGAUGAUAUAGGGCAUUAUUUCCAGACACACAAAGGCCUGAGGCAAGGAGAUCCAGUGUCCCCUAUUUUGUUCAACAUUGUGGUUGACAUGUUGGCAAUUCUCAUAGGUAGGGCAAAGGAGGCCGGUCAGGUGGGUGGCUUGGUGCCCAACCUAGUUGAUGGGGGUGUGUCCAUUCUGCAGUACGCUGAUGAUACAAUCAUCUUUAUGGAGCAUGACCUGACAAAAGCGAGAAAUAUGAAGCUGCUGUUAUGCUUAUUUGAACAAUUGACCGGGUUAAAGAUUAACUUUCACAAAAGCGAGUUGUUCUGCUUUGGUAGAGCCAAGGAGGAACAAGAGGCUUAUAGGCAAUUGUUUGGAUGUGAAUUAGGGUCUUUACCUUUUACUUACCUAGGUAUACCCAUUCACCAUCGUAAGCUGAUGAACAGAGAGUGGAAAUGCAUCGAAGAUCGGUUUGAAAAGAAACUUAGUUGCUGGAAGGGCAAACUUAUGUCAUAUGGAGGCCGGUUAAUUCUUAUUAAUUCGGUGCUCACGAGUAUGCCGAUGUUCCUACUAUCUUUCUUUGAGGUUCCAGUGGGGGUUAGGAAAAGGCUGGACUUCUACCGAUCAAGAUUUUUUUGGCAGAGUGAUGAACUUAAGAGAAAGUAUAGACUCGCCAAGUGGGAUGUUAUUUGUCGACCAAAGGACCAAGGGGGUUUGGGUAUCGAGAAUCUUGAGGUCAAGAACAGAUGCCUGCUUAGUAAGUGGUUGUAUAAGCUUUCAGUUCAGACUGACGCAACUUGGGCGCAGAUUCUCCGCAACAAGUAUCUGCAUUCAAAAACUUUGGCACAGGUGACAGUGAGACCAACUGAUUCGCCGUUUUGGAAGGGGCUUAUGAGAGUUAAGGCAGCCUUCUUUAAUAGAACAAAGUUUAUUGUCGGUGAUGGCAAUGAUACACAGUUCUGGGAGGAUACUUGGCUGGGCGAUACACCAUUGACGCUAUAG